RNAcentral lists this ribosomal RNA (462 nucleotides) under uncultured bacterium. Its description in RNAcentral is "bacterial SSU rRNA". It matches the Rfam family "Bacterial small subunit ribosomal RNA", at positions 340 to 787 of the family's 1533-position model. The record is from RNAcentral.
UACGGGAGGCAGCAGUGGGGAAUAUUGGACAAUGGGCGGAAGCCUGAUCCAGCCAUGCCGCGUGUGUGAAGAAGGCCUUUUGGUUGUAAAGCACUUUAAGCGAGGAGGAGGCUACUAGUACUAAUACUACUGGAUAGUGGACGUUACUCGCAGAAUAAGCACCGGCUAACUCUGUGCCAGCAGCCGCGGUAAUACAGAGGGUGCGAGCGUUAAUCGGAUUUACUGGGCGUAAAGCGUGCGUAGGCGGCUGAUUAAGUCGGAUGUGAAAUCCCUGAGCUUAACUUAGGAAUUGCAUUCGAUACUGGUCAGCUAGAGUAUGGGAGAGGAUGGUAGAAUUCCAGGUGUAGCGGUGAAAUGCGUAGAGAUCUGGAGGAAUACCGAUGGCGAAGGCAGCCAUCUGGCCUAAUACUGACGCUGAGGUACGAAAGCAUGGGGAAGCAAACAAGGAAUUAAGGAAUAACC